GUCUCCGUGGCGCAACUGGUUAGCGCGUUCGACUGUUAAACAUUGUGAUGCAAUCGAGAGGUUGACAGUUCAAUCCUGUCCGGGGACG
This 88-nucleotide transfer RNA is filed under the name Lasallia pustulata. Its description in RNAcentral is "Umbilicaria pustulata tRNA-Asn". It matches the Rfam family "tRNA". From Rfam's summary of the family: Transfer RNA (tRNA) molecules are approximately 80 nucleotides in length. Their secondary structure includes four short double-helical elements and three loops (D, anti-codon, and T loops). Lineage: Eukaryota; Fungi; Ascomycota; Lecanoromycetes; Umbilicariales; Umbilicariaceae. The record is from RNAcentral.